UACGAGGGGGGCAAGCGUUGUUCGGAAUUAUUGGGCGUAAAGGGUGCGUAGGCUGUGCGGUAAGUCACCUGUGAAAACUCUGGGCUCAACCCAGAGCCUGCAGGCGAAACUGCCGUGCUGGAGUAUGGGAGAGGUGCGUGGAAUUCCCAGUGUAGCGGUGAAAUGCGUAGAUAUUGGGAGGAACACCAGUGGCGAAGGCGGCUCGCUGGACCGGUUCUGACGCUGAUGCGCGAAAGCGUGGGGAGCAAACGGG
This 253-nucleotide ribosomal RNA is filed under the name uncultured prokaryote. RNAcentral's name for it is "partial 16S ribosomal RNA". It matches the Rfam family "Bacterial small subunit ribosomal RNA", at positions 524 to 776 of the family's 1533-position model. The record is from RNAcentral.